RNAcentral lists this ribosomal RNA (285 nucleotides) under uncultured bacterium. RNAcentral describes it as "partial 16S ribosomal RNA". It matches the Rfam family "Bacterial small subunit ribosomal RNA", at positions 333 to 635 of the family's 1533-position model. The record is from RNAcentral.
UGCGACCUACGGGGGGCAGCAGUGGGGGAUAUUGCACAAUGGGGGAAACCCUGAUGCAGCAACGCCGCGUGAGUGAAGAAGGUCUUCGGAUUGUAAAGCUCUGUUCUUGGUGAAGAUAAUGACGGUAGCCAAGGAGAAAGCUCCGGCUAACUACGUGCCAGCAGCCGCGGUAAUACGUAGGGAGGGAGCGUUGUCCGGAUUUACUGGGUGUAAAGGGGGCGCAGGCGGCUCUGCAAGUCAGGCGUGAAAGCUAGUGGCUCAACCGCUAAAUUGCGCUUGAAACUG